UCUGAUCCUCAUCCCUGUGUUCAUGCAUCCUGCUCAUCUCAGCUGAGCUUGGAAGCUAAGCAGGGUCGGGCCCGGUCAGUACCUGGAUAGGAGAUCGCCUGGGAAUACCGGGUGCUUGCUCCCAC
Mesitornis unicolor (brown roatelo) is the source of this 125-nucleotide non-coding RNA. The record is from Rfam. Lineage: Eukaryota; Metazoa; Chordata; Aves; Mesitornithiformes; Mesitornithidae.